RNAcentral lists this ribosomal RNA (462 nucleotides) under uncultured bacterium. RNAcentral describes it as "SSU rRNA". It matches the Rfam family "Bacterial small subunit ribosomal RNA", at positions 26 to 518 of the family's 1533-position model. The record is from RNAcentral.
AGGAUUAACGCUGGCGGCGUGCCUAACACAUGCAAGUCGAACGAGGUAGCAAUACCUAGUGGCAGACGGGUGAGUAACGCGUGGUCAACCUACCGUUGAGUGGGGGAUAACUAACCGAAAGGUUAGCUAAUACCGCAUACGUGUCCGAGGGGCAUCCCUUGGCCAUAAAAGGAGCAAUCCGCUCGAUGACGGGACCGCGUCCCAUUAGCUAGUUGGUGGGGUAACGGCCUACCAAGGCACCGAUGGGUAGCUGGUUUGAGAGAGCGAUCAGCCACACUGGGACUGAGAAACGGCCCAGACUCCUACGGGAGGCAGCAGUGAGGAAUUUCCGCAAUGGGCGAAAGCCUGACGGAGCGACGCCGCGUGUGGGAAGAAGGCCUUCGGGUCGUAAACCACUGUCGAAGGGACGAUAAUGACGGUACCCUUGGAGGAAGCCCGGCUAACGUACGUGCCAGCAGCCGC